This is a long non-coding RNA of Bubalus bubalis (water buffalo), 799 nucleotides long. RefSeq lists it as uncharacterized. The transcript has 2 exons. The record is from RefSeq and is a predicted model, not a curated record. NCBI's taxonomy places the organism in Eukaryota, Metazoa, Chordata, Mammalia, Artiodactyla, Bovidae.
GGGCGACUGCACUGAACUGAUUCUACUCUUUUCAUUUCUAACAAUCGCAAUUCUACUGUUAAAUCCAACUCAAAUCCCUUCCACUCUGUAAAUGUUCCAAUUGAAUUUUCACCUUUGAACUUAGAAAAAAUUACUAAGUAAUUUGACAGUUUUGAAGAGAUUUCUUUUGUGAUUUUCAUAUCAAAGGGUAAAUAGACAUUCCCAUCAUCUUUAUGCUGUCCCAGUUAACUGAUCAAGUUAAGUGAGUUGUUUUCAGUUUUGAAUUUGGAGUAAUGGAGGUUUAUCAUUGUACAUGAGUUUUUUAACUCAUGUCUGAUGUGAGUGUAACAGAGCAGAAGGAGGGCAGCCCUUAGCAGCCAGCCAUUACUGUGCCUCAUUACCCCACACCCUGUUACUAGGCAACAGGUCUUGCUCAGCCGUUGCUUGGUGCCUUAGUGCGCCCUGCUUGCAAGCAACCAACUUGCAACCAAUGAAGGGUUGUCAGUUGUCCUUCUCAGCCAUUGGUCAACACCGAAGUGGCCCACUGAUAACUGUCAAGGAGGGAUCAUUGGGGAAGUGAUUCAAUCAAGGAUCAGUGGUGUGGUGGUCAUCAGGUGGAGAGUGAGGACAGAGAAUACCAUUCAUCUGGUAGAGAUUUACAGGAACAUCACUACCUGACCAUGACCGGACCUCAAGAAUAAAGAAUCUGACACUGAGAAGUCUGCAACAACUAACCACGCCCAUCCCUCCCCUUUUGCUUUUAAAGGGACUUGUUUAAAAAAAUAAUAAUAAUAAUAAUAAAUAAAUAAAGGGACUUGUU